Molecule: ribosomal RNA, 430 nt
Filed under: uncultured rumen bacterium
Lineage: Bacteria
Description: bacterial SSU rRNA
Rfam family: Bacterial small subunit ribosomal RNA
Source: RNAcentral
GCUUAACACAUGCAAGUCGAACGGAGUGUGCUUUUGAAAUUCCUUCGGGAACGGAUGUUGUACACUUAGUGGCGGACGGGUGAUAACGCGUGAGCAACCUGCCUUUCAGAGGGGGAUAACACAACGAAAGCUGUGCUAAUACCGCAUGACAUUGCUUUAUCGCAUGGUGAGGCAAUCAAAGGAGCAAUCCGCUGAAAGAUGGGCUCGCGUCCGAUUAGAUAGUUGGCGGGGUAACGGCCCACCAAGUCGACGAUCGGUAGCCGGACUGAGAGGUUGGCCGGCCACAUUGGGACUGAGACACGGCCCAGACUCCUACGGGAGGCAGCAGUGGGGGAUAUUGCACAAUGGGCGAAAGCCUGAUGCAGCGACGCCGCGUGAGGGAAGAAGGUCUUCCGGAUUGUAAACCUUUGUCCUAUGGGAAGAUAAUGAC